This 208-nucleotide long non-coding RNA is filed under the name Physcomitrium patens. RNAcentral describes it as "long non-coding RNA (PPAT_LNC007945)". The record is from RNAcentral. Lineage: Eukaryota; Viridiplantae; Streptophyta; Bryopsida; Funariales; Funariaceae.
UUUGUAUAUAUCUUUCCACCAAUAUUCCUCCUUCAAUUUAGUAAAAGUUACCCAAAUUCCUCUUUGUCCUACCUAUAAAGUUGCAUAAAAAUCCUUAAUAACCUCUUGUUAAGCUUCUAAAUCACAUAUUACUUGUUGUAAUACUUUUCUUCUCUUUUUUGGAUGCUUCCAUAAAUAUCCAUCACAUAAAAAUAUCUAUAAGCUUUUU